Diceros bicornis minor is the source of this 1001-nucleotide long non-coding RNA. RefSeq lists it as uncharacterized. NCBI's taxonomy places the organism in Eukaryota, Metazoa, Chordata, Mammalia, Perissodactyla, Rhinocerotidae. The record is from RefSeq and is a predicted model, not a curated record. The transcript is spliced from 8 exons.
GGGUUUCCAUGUCUACAAUUCCUUCCACAGUGAUGUCAGCACCUUGGUGAGCACCCUGAGGUGGUUAUCGGGAUGGGGUCAGAUGAUCCCUAAUUACACCUGCCAGGCACAGAACAAGAAUGUGGCUGUCACUGCAGGAACCACACCAGCAUUCUCUGCCCACAUUGGGACACUGUUGGAGCUCUACAAAAUACCACAGAGAACUCAAUAUGGAACACUUUUUCUCUUUUGAUUCAGACAACCUAUGGAGAUUUUGAUCCUGUACUGAAAGCUCCACCCAUUCCUAAGAAACACCCAAUUUAAAAAAAGCACUGGAGCUCACGUGUCACUGGAUGAGAAAAGAAACUCUGUGUCACAGCAUGUAAUUCUGAACUAUAUGAUUUUCCUAAAGGUCUUGGACUUCAGGUGAAAGACGUUCUGUCAGCCAGGAUUCAGGAACAUCCCUCAGGAAGAGAGAGCUACCUGCUGCUUUGUCUGUGUAUUGUGCCCAGAGAGAGAAAUAUGUAAUCAGACAGAAAAGAAAAGUGUCUGUGGGGCUCAAGUUUGAGUUGAAACCAGGCUCAGGGUCCACCUGUCCUCGCUGAUCCGUGGAUUUCUGUGUGACCAGCUUUGGGGCACAACCUGAAGACCCUCACAGUCACCUUCCCCAUCUCCACCCUCCAGUAUUCAUCAGACAGGAGCAAUGGCUCAGCCACGUUCCACUCCACUGAGAGGGUCCUGCAGAGCCUGCUGGAUCCUUGUUCAAGAAGAGCAGCCUGGGCCUCUUCUCCUUGAGUUGCAGACUGGUCUCCCUCAGGCCUGUGAAGGAUGGGGGAGCCACCUGUGUGGACGCUGUCUGCACCCACCACCGUGACCUCGUGGGCCACCAUGCCUCUGUGCUGGGAGCUGAGAGUCUCCACGUGUCUGCUCUUCCUCUCGGUGGCUCCAGGCUCUGCACCCUGGAGUUUAUGCAUGCAGAGAGAACACCAGCUGCAUUACCGCAGCAUCAGCUGGAACCACAG